AUUGAACGCUGGCGGCAGGCCUAACACAUGCAAGUCGAACGAGUGGCGGACGGGUGAGUAAUGUAUGGGAAACUUCCUGAUGGAGGGGGAUAACUACUGGAAACGGUAGCUCAUACCGCAUACCCUACGAUGUGGCCAGCUGGGCUUCGCUAGUUGGUGGGGUAACGGCUCACCAAGGCGACGAUCCCUCGCUGGUCUGAGAGGAUGACCAGCCACACUGGAACUGAGACACGGUCCAGACUCCUACGGGAGGCAGCAGUGGGGAAUAUUUGACAAUGGGCGCAAGCCUGAUGCAGCCAUGCCGCGUGUAUGAAGAAGGCCUUCGGGUCGUAAAGUACUGUCAGCGGGGAGGCGUUACCUGCAGAAGAAGCACCGGCUAACUCCGUGCCAGCAGCCGCGGUAAUAC
Molecule: ribosomal RNA, 406 nt
Filed under: uncultured bacterium
Lineage: Bacteria
Description: partial 16S ribosomal RNA
Rfam family: Bacterial small subunit ribosomal RNA
Source: RNAcentral